AACAGCAUUUUGGGUUCUAUUCUUCCAGUGCUGAUACAGAAAACAGGAAUACCAGAUGUUUCACAAACCACUGAAAGGUUAGCUAGUCGACUGAGAUGCAUGACGUUUCUCAAGGCAGCUGGCCAACCAGGUGACAGUUCUGGAUGCCAGAAUUCUUCAAUCCAGCUGUUGGCAAGACUGGUCCCUCCUGGAGGCUCUGAAGAAGAAUUUGUUCCAUGCUUUUAAGAAGUCUCUCUCCUAGCUUCUGAUGGCUACUGUGGCUGCAGAGUUCAAGUUGGGCCUUCCUUGGCUAUUUGCCAUCCCAAUGCCAAUUAGUGUACACAGAGCCUGGAUUCUUCUCCAGCCAGGAGGGGCAUGGUUACAGCCUGGCCUCAUCAUCAGAAGGUGCCUGGCUACUUCAAGAGUUGAGCUAAUCACAGGGAAGAUUUGGUCUCAGUUCAGCUGCCUCAUUUGAUCAACUCAAGACUGAGUCCAACAAAAGUGGUCUGUCUAAUGAAACUCAUUUUCAUUUUUUCUCAUUAGUCUAUACACGACUGAGACUGUAAAAGGACAAAAGAAUAAAAAGAAAAAUGACAAUUAAAAAUCAUUUUCUCUGGCCCUUGAUUUUUGUCUUCUUCUUCUUCUUUUUUUUAAUGGAGCUAUGUGCUCAUUUCUUUUUUCUUUUUUAUUCUCUGCUCUUCUUUUCUCUUGAUUUUCCAUUUAUGCAGGGAGAAUUAGGAAAUCAUGGUCUGAGUGCUGAGAUGUUCUGAUAGGCCUCUAAGUUUUCAGCUUUACUCUGUAUCAGAAUAAUAAUCUCUGUCAAACAGCCUGACAUUGGCACCACCUUCCCAGGAAUCCAGGAGCACCUCUGCAUGAUGAAAAGCAGAAGAGAGCAAAGUCACGAAAUAUUGUGUGUGUUUGUAUAAAAUCACAUAUUUUUGCUCACAUAUAAUAUACAUUUCUGCUCAUUUUUCCUUUAAAAGCUGCUAUUAUUUAAAAUCCAUUGCCUAAUAAAACUGCAAUUCACCUUUGUGAUUCACUCUUUUGUUUGCUGUCACAGAGAAGAUAGAAAUUGAGCAGGGUUUCUGCUUUCCUUCGAUACCAAGGUCAGAAUAAAGUGAUAGUGGAAAGAAAACAAGGGUCUUGUUUCAAAAAUCCUUCAAUUCCAUGUAACUGAAAACAUGAGUCCAACUGACUUUCUUUUAAAACGGUGAGGUAUUCCAUAACUAAGAGUCCUGAAGUAGUGGUCAGGUGAAGAUUAUGACAUGGAUUAAUAAUGCCACUCAAAUAACCGUUUUUUUCCUGAUGUCUUUCCUGGUGCCAUAAGAUGGCCUCCCACAGCUAGUGGGAAUUAUUUGCCCCUAAUUCAUAUUUAGCAGGAAGUUACAGUAUGUCUUGUAGCAGUUCUCUUGGAGGAUCAGAUAAACUUUUUUUUUUUCUGGUAAGCCCCUAUCUGAGUGUCUGAUUGGCCCAAUUGGUCACAUUUUCUGAACCAAUCAUGAGGUCAGGAGGAUGGGGCCUGAGUGUUGACUGGCUAAACCAGUUAAGACCCACACACAUGGAGGUGGGGUGGAGGCUAUAUGGGUGUUAUGUUGAUGGCUGAAUUAUGAAAAACCCAAGGAAAAGGAUGAAUGCAUGUUGGGAGGUUGAGAACAGUACAUAGUCAUCUCAGAGGUAAACAUCAGAAGGGUU
This is a long non-coding RNA of Callithrix jacchus (white-tufted-ear marmoset), 1671 nucleotides long. The record is from Ensembl. Lineage: Eukaryota; Metazoa; Chordata; Mammalia; Primates; Cebidae.